CCUACGGGCGGCUGCAGUAGGGAAUAUUGCUCAAUGGGGGAAACCCUGAAGCAGCAACGCCGCGUGGAGGAUGAAGGUUUUCGGAUUGUAAACUCCUUUUGUUAGAGAAGAUAAUGACGGUAUCUAACGAAUAAGCACCGGCUAACUCCGUGCCAGCAGCCGCGGUAAUACGGCGGGUGCAAGCGUUACUCGGAACCACUGGGCGUAAAGGGCGCGUAGGCGGGAUAGCAAGUCGGAUGUGAAAUACGAUGGCUUAAACAGAGAACUGCAUUUGAAACUGGUAUUCUAGAGUAUGGGAGAGGUAGGUGGAAUUCUUGGUGUAGGGGUAAAAUCCGUAGAGAUCAAGAGGAAUACUCAGUGCGAAGGCGACCUGCUAGAACAUAACUGACGCUGAUGCGCGAAAGCGUGGGGAGCAAACAGGAGUAGAUACCCGGGUAGUC
RNAcentral lists this ribosomal RNA (440 nucleotides) under uncultured bacterium. RNAcentral describes it as "partial 16S ribosomal RNA". It matches the Rfam family "Bacterial small subunit ribosomal RNA", at positions 338 to 795 of the family's 1533-position model. The record is from RNAcentral.